CUUCAUCGACAUGAACUCCCCAUGGUUUCUAGUAAUAAAGAGAUAGCAGUUUGUGAUGCUUGUCAACAGGGCAAAAGUCAUCAACUUUAUUUUUCUUCCUCUAGUCGAGUUGUCAACAAUCCUUUAGAAAUUGUGUUUUCUGAUGUAUGGGGUCCAGCCCAAACUUCUGUUAGUGGUCACAACUAUUAUGCCAGUUUCAUUGAUGCUUAUAGUCGUUUUAGAUGGCUUUAUCUCCUUAAGCGCAAGUCUGAUGUGUUUGAUAUCUUUCUUCAAUUUCAGUCACACGUUGAGCACCUUCUCAAGCAGAAAAUUAUACAUGUUCAGUCGGAUUGG
RNAcentral lists this ribosomal RNA (333 nucleotides) under Triticum aestivum (bread wheat). Its description in RNAcentral is "partial small subunit ribosomal RNA". Lineage: Eukaryota; Viridiplantae; Streptophyta; Magnoliopsida; Poales; Poaceae. The record is from RNAcentral.